GGUGAACACCGGGCCAUAGCGCUCACUGAUCUGAUGGAGGCGGGUGGGAGAGGUUAGAGGGAGCAGCCCCUGCUCCGAAUGGACCCAGCACCGAGAUUUCAUGUACUGGGAUGUUUCGCCCAGUCGGGUUCUCACAGUCAGGGAGCUGGACAUUCCAAGAUCCUGUCUUUCCUGGCUAGGACCCUGACGCUUAACCUCCAAAACUCCCUUUCCUGAGACUCUGGUCCACAGUGGUCAAUCCCCUGCCACAAAGCUCCAGCCAGAUGGGCAGCCGCCACCCCGUGCCACCCAUCUCCCUGCCUUGGGACACCUUCAUGAGGGAGGUGCACAUCUGCUCUGUGUUCAGCUGCAGUGGAAAGGGAGUAUUUAGGAAGAGAAGAUAAUAUUUGAAGGAUACUGAGGUGUGGAAAAACUGUGGACUGUGUGAUCCCCCACCCAUGCUGCUCCUCACCAGACAGGGCUCACCAGCUUGGGCUCCCAGUACA
Cercocebus atys (sooty mangabey) is the source of this 485-nucleotide long non-coding RNA. RefSeq lists it as uncharacterized. Lineage: Eukaryota; Metazoa; Chordata; Mammalia; Primates; Cercopithecidae. The transcript has 3 exons. The record is from RefSeq and is a predicted model, not a curated record.